UACGUAGGGGGCGAGCGUUGUUCGGAAUUACUGGGCGUAAAGGGCGCGUAGGUGGCCUGUUAAGUCGAACGUGAAAUCCCCGGGCUCAACCCGGGAACUGCGUCCGAGACUGGCAGGCUCGAAUCCGGGAGAGGGAUGUGGAAUUCCAGGUGUAGCGGUGAAAUGCGUAGAUAUCUGGAGGAACACCGGUGGCGAAGGCGGCAUCCUGGACCGGUAUUGACGCUGAGGCGCGAAAGCCAGGGGAGCAAACGGG
RNAcentral lists this ribosomal RNA (253 nucleotides) under uncultured bacterium. Its description in RNAcentral is "partial 16S ribosomal RNA". It matches the Rfam family "Bacterial small subunit ribosomal RNA", at positions 524 to 776 of the family's 1533-position model. The record is from RNAcentral.